Molecule: long non-coding RNA, 209 nt
Filed under: Carica papaya (papaya)
Lineage: Eukaryota; Viridiplantae; Streptophyta; Magnoliopsida; Brassicales; Caricaceae
Description: long non-coding RNA (CPAP_LNC006364)
Source: RNAcentral
AACCAGAAGCCGGCCUCCGCCACCCGCCGCAGCACCGGAGGGAUUUCCGACGGCCGAUCGAGGUAAAUUUCAUACCCCCGACUCGUUUUUCCACGCUGAUUUUCCCAGUGGCCAAAUCGGAGCCAAAAUCCCGGCCAAACGGCCGGAAAACACGGCCGAAAGCCAGCGGCGCCGCCGCGCCCCUUCUCGGUUUUUGCCUCCGAUGAGGC